UCGGCUUAGAGUUUGAUCAUGGCUCAGGAUGAACGCUGGCGGCGUGCUUAACACAUGCAAGUCGAGCGAAGCCUUCGGGUUGAGCGGCGGACGGGUGAGUAACGCGUGGGUAACCUGCCUCAUACAGGGGGAUAACAGUUAGAAAUGACUGCUAAUACCGCAUAAGCGCACAGCUGCAUGGCCAGUGUGAAAAACUCCGGUGGUAUGAGAUGGACCCGCGUCUGAUUAGGUAGUUGGUAGGGUAACGGCCUACCAAGCCGACGAUCAGUAGCCGACCUGAGAGGGUGACCGGCCACAUUGGGACUGAGACACGGCCCAAACUCCUACGGGAGGCAGCAGUGGGGAAUAUUGGACAAUGGGGGAAACCCUGAUCCAGCGACGCCGCGUGACUGAAGAAGUAUUUCGGUAUGUAAAGGUCUAUCAGCAGGGAAGAAAAUGACGGUACCUGACUAAGAAGCCCCGGCUAACUACGUGCCAGCAGCCGCGGUAAUACGUAGGGGGCAAGCGUUAUCCGGAUUUACUGGGUGUAAAGGGAGCGUAGACGGCGAUGCAAGUCUGAAGUGAAAGCCCGGGGCUCAACCCCGGGACUGCUUUGGAAACUGUGUUGCUGGAGUGCAGAGAGGUAAGUGGAAUUCCUAGUGUAGCGGUGAAAUGCGUAGAUAUAGGAGGAACACCAGUG
Molecule: ribosomal RNA, 679 nt
Filed under: uncultured Lachnospiraceae bacterium
Lineage: Bacteria; Bacillati; Bacillota; Clostridia; Lachnospirales; Lachnospiraceae
Description: bacterial SSU rRNA
Rfam family: Bacterial small subunit ribosomal RNA
Source: RNAcentral